GGGUUAAGUCCCGCAACGAGCGCAACCCUUGUCCUUAGUUGCCACCAUUCAGUUGGGCACUCUAAGGAGACUGCCGGUGUUAAACCGGAGGAAGGUGGGGAUGACGUCAAGUCCUCAUGGCCCUUAUAUCCAGGGCUACACACGUGCUACAAUGGCCGGUACAAAGGGUUGCAAUACCGCGAGGUGGAGCUAAUCCCAAAAAGCCGGUCUCAGUUCGGAUUGGAGUCUGCAACUCGACUCCAUGAAGUCGGAAUCGCUAGUAAUCGCGUAUCAGCGUGACGCGGUGAAUACGUUCCCGGGCCUU
Molecule: ribosomal RNA, 304 nt
Filed under: uncultured Geothermobacter sp.
Lineage: Bacteria; Pseudomonadati; Thermodesulfobacteriota; Desulfuromonadia; Desulfuromonadales; Geothermobacteraceae
Description: bacterial SSU rRNA
Rfam family: Bacterial small subunit ribosomal RNA
Source: RNAcentral